This 567-nucleotide ribosomal RNA is filed under the name uncultured Alphaproteobacteria bacterium. RNAcentral describes it as "bacterial SSU rRNA". It matches the Rfam family "Bacterial small subunit ribosomal RNA", at positions 329 to 914 of the family's 1533-position model. Lineage: Bacteria; Pseudomonadati; Pseudomonadota; Alphaproteobacteria. The record is from RNAcentral.
CAGGUCACUCCUACGGGAGGCAGCAGUGGGGAAUAUUGGACAAUGGACGCAAGUCUGAUCCAGCUAUGCCGCGUGAGUGAUGAAGGCCUUCGGGUUGUAAAGCUCUUUGAGCGGGGAAAAUAAUGAUGGUACCCGCAGAACAAGCCCCGGCUAACUCUGUGCCAGCAGCCGCGGUAAUACAGAGGGGGCUAGCGUUGUUCGGAAUUACUGGGCGUAAAGCGCGCGUAGGCGGUGCUGCAAGUUAGAAGUGAAAUCCCGGGGCUUAACCUCGGAACUGCUUUUAAGACUGCAGUGCUUGAUGAUGGUAGGGGGUGGUGGAAUUCCUAGUGUAGAGGUGAAAUUCGUAGAUAUUAGGAGGAACACCAGUGGCGAAGGCGGCCACCUGGCUUGGUAUUGACGCUGAGGCGCGAAAGCGUGGGGAGCAAACAGGAUUAGAUACCCUGGUAGUCCACGCCGUAAACGAUGUGUGCUAGCCGUCGGGCAGCUUGCUGUUCGGUGGCGCAGCUAACGCGAUAAGCACACCGCCUGGGGAGUACGGUCGCAAGAUUAAAACUCAAAGGAAUUGCG